CAUAAUUGGCAAUUUGUCCAGUCAUCACCGUGAGCUUGUCUUCGCUCUUCCCUACUCCAUUACAAAUCCUGUCGCUCCGGUUUAGAACCCUUUAGCCUUCCCAGUCCCGAUGUAAAUAGGAACUAGCUGCUUGCUAGUCAUCGCCUUAGAAUCCCCUGCUUCAGAGAGCCCCUAUCCAUCUCUGGGAUGUACUGUUCCUUGUGUACCCUCCAGCCUGUGCUGGCUUCCAGGUCACACUCAUUUCCUCUAAGAUGUUAGCACUUGCCUAAGCAUCAGAUUAACUAUCUGAAGGAAUCAAAUACUAUUAAGUAUAUGUUGGAGACCUUCUCAAAUCAGUUCAUAUGCUAAUAUGGUAUAGUAUAGUCAAAUAACAUGUAAUGUGCUUUAUUUAGUUUUUGAAACAGAAUCUGGCUACAUAGCCCAGACUAGCUUUGAACCUAAGGUUAUCUUGCAGCUUCCUUAGUGCUAUUUAUAGGCCUGUAUCACCACACCAAGUAUCAGUUUCUAUUAUUUUUAUUUACUUCUUUUGAGACAGGGUAUCAUGUAGACCAAGCAAGCUAAGAAUGACUUUAAAUUCCUAGCCCUAUACCUCCACCUCCCAUGUCCGGAUUAUAGAAUUUAUGUAGUGCUUAUGUAGCCCAGGCUGGCCUCAGAGUUAGCGCUGUUCUUGCCCAGUUGCUCAAAUGCUGGGAUUAUAGGUGUAAGGCACCAUUCUUGUUUUGAAGAUGAUUUUUUAAAAUUAAUUUAUGUGUAUGGGUGUUUGGGCUACUUGUUAUAUCUGUGUAUCACAAGGGCGUGGGACCCACUAGAACUGUAACUCCCAAGUCCUGCGGGAAGCGUGCCACUGCUGCUGAUACAACCAAAAAGUUUCCUCACAGCCUGUAUGGCAUUGUCUGUCACAGCCUUGCUCGUUUCUCCAAGCCUGCACUGUCAUGUUCUUCCAGCUUCUUGAGUUUUCUCAGACUUUUCUCAUACAGUUCUCAGCCUUUGAUUUUUACCAGCUCCUUAUCCCAACUUUCCCCCUAAUUUUCCUUUCUUCUUAAGCUGUCAACCGCCAUUAUUUUUUCCUUUGUACAGAUGCAUUCUUUGUGGUUCUGCUGAUAUUCAAAAGAGCUGUUAAUCACAACCUAUCUACUUGAAUGUUAUUUCUCUGCCCCUCUGCUUCUGAUUAUCCACAUUCCAUGGAGUAUGUUUGUAUUGCUUACUUUUGGUGUCUAGGACUGAGUAAAUACUUGGGAAGUGCUCAAGUGAACAUGUCAUCAAUUUAUUUGGGGAGAAAAUAGAAGCACAAAGAAGUUGGGGGUGCGGGCUUGCUGCCAAGCCUGAUGAUCUUAGUUCGAGCCUUAUGAUCCACUUGAACAAGUCCUCUGUCCUCCACACACACAUCCUUGUGCCUACCUCUGCCACAUACAAAAUUUUAGAAUUGUAACUUUUUUCAAAAGUCAGGAUUUCCUGCCUUCCAGGAGUAACUAAAAAAAAAAAAAAAAAAACAAAACAAAAAAAAAUGCAGUUGCUACAAAAGGGAGAAAAAAAAAAAAACAAACCGGCAAUAUUUGGCAUGUGGUGGCCAGAAUAUAAGCUUGUCAUUCAGUGGCCUGCAUGUUUCCAUAAAUUAUAUCUAUUUUAGGUUAAUGAAUCCCACUAAUCAUUUUAAUAUGACAUUGUAGGACUUAAAAAAAAAUAGACCUCAUUAAUCCCAGCAUUCCAGGCCAGACCUGUUUUUUGUUUUGUUUUAAUUUUUAUGUGUAUGCAUGUGUGUAAGAAUCCACAGAGAUUGGAAGAGGGUGCCUGUAAGAUUCCCUGGAACUGGAGUUACAGGCAAUGUGAACCUGGUGUGACUACAAGGAGCCACACCAGGCCUCCGUAAGAGCACAGUGCUCUUAGCUCUCGAGCCACCUCUUCAGCCUGACUUCAGUGUUUAAAUGCUCAUCUACACACGGGACAUCCUAGUAAAGGACAUCAGCAGUUUUAGGCAACAGCAGUAAAAGCCCCAAAUGGCUAAUAGAAGUCUGUCUACACAUCAAUAAUGUAUUAUUUGGGUUGAGCUGGACCAGUGUCUGUGCUGUGGACCAGUUUACAUACUUUGGAAGGCAAAGAGUGCUGGACCUAUAUAAAAAGCAGGCUCAGAAUUUCAGAGGAAAAGGCUAGGUCUUGGGACCCAUAAGCCUACAACUCUCAGAAAGUGCUGAUAAGCCAGGUAGUAACAUGAUGUAGCUGUUGCCCUCUUGAGCUGUCAGCAGGUGAAAUUAUCCAGACUGGCCCAGUUAGGCUCCUGACUUUGUCCUAUGGAGAGAGGAAGGCAUUCAUGAAUACCUACCCAUCCCUAAGAUUUACCACCAGUUAACAGCUACUGGGAGAUGUUUUUCUUCAGUGUCAUAACUUCACGUAAGUUGUCCACGCUCCUAACCUCAGUUAAACCAACUGCUUCACCAGCUAGAUUUUAGUCUGUCAUUGUCAUUAGAUGUUAGUCUUCCCGGGAAAAUUUCGUACAACAGAGCAGUCUGGCUUUAACAUGUGAUGCUCCUGCCUUGGCCUCAUGCGUUAGGUGCGUGCCACCAUACCUGCCUGGUGUUUUUAAAAUCUUUAUUACAUUUAUUAGAGACUGUAUAAGAGUGUCACAGUACAUGUGUGGAGGGGAGCUGGUUCUUCCAUUUGGGUUCUAGGGAUCAAAAAGCACCUUUCCAGGAGCCAUUUCCACUACCUCACUUUGUUUUCUUAAAAAAAAAAAAAAAAAAAAAAUCAUUACAUUUUGAGGUUGGAGAGAUAGUUCAGUGGUUAAGAGUAAGAAGUGUUCACAUACCAGGUUUGGUGGCACAUGCCUGUGAUCUCAGCACUCAGGGAGACAGGCCAGCCUGGCCUACAAAGCUAGUCCAGGAUAGCUAAGACUACACAGAGAAACCCUGUCUCAGAAAACCAAGUGGGAAAAAAAUGUUCAUGCAGAGGACCUGAGUUCAGUUCCCAGCACCCAAGACAGGCAGCUCAAAACUGCCUCUAGCUGCAGCCCCGGAAGAUCCCAUACCCCUGGCUUCCACAGGCACCUGUAUUCAUGUGCACAUACCCACAGAGACACACACAUAAAUAGUAAGAAUAAAUCUUUAUUACAUUUGAUGUUUUAUAAAGCAUUUUGGAAGUAAGAGGUGAAAACAGUGUUGGGACGUGGAUUCAGCUGAUUUCGGGUCUACACUUUUGGCCAUUCUCCAACAGAACCUGAAGUCCCAGAAAGACCAGUGGCCACCUUUGCAUGGUACAAUUGCAGGUUUUUUUCUUUUCUUUUCUUUCUUUCUUUAUGUCUGUCUGUCUGUCUUUCUUCUGUGCUAGGAACUGAAUUCAGGGCCUCACACAUAUGAAACAAUCAUUGUACCACUGACCUACAGCCAACUUUUUUCCCCCCUUUUGGUUAAAAAACACAGAGGAAAUCUCAGCACUCAGGGCAGGCCUGGGCUACAUAGUGAGUGCCAGAGCAGCCAAGACUACAGUAGGAGACACUGUCACAAAGUGCAACCUUCACUUUUUGAAAAGAAACUUAAGGUCUAGAAAGAUUAUUCCAAGAACAGUUAAUGUAAUACUUUUGUGUGGUUUGGUGGUGGUUUUGGGAUACAGGGGUAUUACAGUGGCACGCUCAUCCAGGAGAAUGAGGCAGAAGGAUGAAGAGUUUUAAGACCAGCCUGACCUACACAGGGAGAAAAAUAAACCGACCAAACAAGUGUGUAUCCCGGAACUAGCUCCAACCCUCCAUUCUUACCCUGAGUGAGACUGUCUAACCGUGUGGGGUGCUUUUCUUCAGGUCAGCUCCUCUUUGCUAGUGAUUUCAGGGUUCUUUUUAUUGUUAUCUGAGACCAUCCUGAACUUGCUCUGUAGACCAGGAUAACCAUAAACUCAGAGAUCCCAUGCCUCUGCCUCCCAGGUGCUGGAAUAAAGGUGUGCGCCACCAUGCUCAGCUAGACUCCUUGUUCACAAUGGAUCAAAUAUCCUGCAACACCUCAUUUGUUUUUGGAGACAGGGUUUCUCUGUGUAGUCCUGGCUGUCCUGGACAGCUUUGUAGACCAGGCUGGCCUUGAACUCACAGAGAUCCACCUGUCUCUCCUUCCCCCAGUGCUGGGAUUACAAGUGUGCACCAUUGAGCCCAGGUGACUUCCUCAUUUUUAAUGAAUAUCUACAAGCAGGCUGACUAUGAUGUCUCUACUUGAGAUCUGACAAUGUAGCAGAAGGCAACUGUGCUGAAGAACUACUACAAAAUUCUCAACAGGUUGUGGAGGAGUACUUUGUGGCCCCCCCAGGUAACAUUUCUUUGCCAGACACGGCAAAUAAGAUU
This is an RNA transcript of Meriones unguiculatus (Mongolian gerbil), 4312 nucleotides long. RefSeq lists it as uncharacterized. The record is from RefSeq and is a predicted model, not a curated record. Lineage: Eukaryota; Metazoa; Chordata; Mammalia; Rodentia; Muridae. The transcript is spliced from 3 exons.